GUCCUUAGUACGAGAGGACCGGGAUGGACAUACCUCUGGUGAACCAGUUGUUCUGCCAAGGGCAUAGCUGGGUAGCCACGUAUGGACGGGAUAAGCGCUGAAAGCAUCUAAGUGCGAAGCCCCCCACAAGAAUAGAUUUCCUCCUUUAAGGUAAGACCCGUGGGAGACUACCACGUGAUAGGUCAGAGGUGUAAGUGCAGUAAUGUAUUAAGCUGACUGAUACUAAUAGGUCGAGCACUUGACCA
Molecule: ribosomal RNA, 245 nt
Filed under: Veillonella sp.
Lineage: Bacteria; Bacillati; Bacillota; Negativicutes; Veillonellales; Veillonellaceae
Description: partial 23S ribosomal RNA
Rfam family: Bacterial large subunit ribosomal RNA
Source: RNAcentral